UACGUAGGGUGCAGGCGUUAAUCGGAAUUACUGGGCGUAAAGCGUGCGCAGGCGGCUCCUUAAGUCAGAUGUGAAAGCCCCGGGCUUAACCUGGGAACUGCGUUUGAAACUGGGGAGCUUGAGUGUGGAAGAGGGGGGUGGAAUUCCAGGUGUAGCAGUGAAAUGCGUAGAGAUCUGGAGGAACACCGAUGGCGAAGGCAGCCCCCUGGGCUAACACUGACGCUCAUGCACGAAAGCGUGGGGAGCAAACAGGAUUAGAUACCCCCGUAGUCC
Molecule: ribosomal RNA, 273 nt
Filed under: uncultured bacterium
Lineage: Bacteria
Description: partial 16S ribosomal RNA
Rfam family: Bacterial small subunit ribosomal RNA
Source: RNAcentral